RNAcentral lists this ribosomal RNA (254 nucleotides) under uncultured bacterium. RNAcentral describes it as "partial 16S ribosomal RNA". It matches the Rfam family "Bacterial small subunit ribosomal RNA", at positions 524 to 776 of the family's 1533-position model. The record is from RNAcentral.
UACGUAGGGUGCAAGCGUUGUCCGGAAUUAUUGGGCGUAAAGAGCUCGUAGGCGGUCUGUCGCGUCUGCUGUGAAAACUCGGGGCUUAACCCCGGGCCUGCAGUGGGUACGGGCAGACUAGAGUGCGGUAGGGGAGACUGGAAUUCCUGGUGUAGCGGUGAAAUGACGCAGAUAUCAGGAGGAACACCGGUGGCGAAGGCGGGUCUCUGGGCAUUACCUGACGCUGAGGAGCGAAAGUGUGGGGAGCGAACAGG